RNAcentral lists this ribosomal RNA (450 nucleotides) under uncultured bacterium. Its description in RNAcentral is "partial 16S ribosomal RNA". It matches the Rfam family "Bacterial small subunit ribosomal RNA", at positions 354 to 796 of the family's 1533-position model. The record is from RNAcentral.
GUGGGGAAUCUUCCGCAAUGGACGAAAGUCUGACGGAGCAACGCCGCGUGAGUGAUGAAGGUCUUCGGAUUGUAAAGCUCUGUUAAUCGGGACGAAAGAGCCUAGUGUGAAUAAUGCUAGGAAGUGACGGUACCGGAAUAGAAAGCCACGGCUUACUACGUGCCAGCAGCCGCGGUAAUACGUAGGUGGCAAGCGUUGUCCGGAAUUAUUGGGCGUAAAGCGCGCGCAGGCGGAUCUGCCAGUCUGUCUUAAAAGUUCGGGGCUUAACCCCGUGAUGGGAUGGAAACUACAGAUCUAGAGUAUCGGAGAGGAAAGUGGAAUUCCUAGUGUAGCGGUGAAAUGCGUAGAGAUCGGGAGGAACACCAGUGGCGAAGGCGGCUUACUGGACUGUAACUGACGCUGAGGCGCGAAAGUGUGGGGAGCAAACAGGAUUAGAAACCCCUGUAGUCC